GUUGGAUUCUGAGAAUUUUGUCUUUCAGCCAGCAAUUCCAAUGCGACUACCCAAGGCUUCAACUACUGGACCUCGAGCGGGAAAGAUACCAAAAACUGUACACGUGACUCAGCUCCACGGAUGCCCAGUGAAACAGACAGUUCAUCCCCCUCAGGUGUAGGCUCAACAAUUCAAGGUGAUGUCUUCACCAGCACAACCAGAACAUCUUCAGAAGUUCCCACAACUGCCAGAUCUACUAACAGCAGUCACAUCCAUAUCACUGGUGAGUCAUUUACCUGUUUAAAAAAUUGUGUGUCUUACUCACUCAACAAAUAAUUUGUCGAGUACCUACCAUUUACCAGACCUGGUGUCGGUUGUUGGAUAUACACUGUGAAAGAAGUAGGUCUUUCUCAUUUUGUACGUAGAAGAGACCUGUGUAAACAUUGGCCUUCUGAAGAUUAUAAUCGAUUAUGGAUGAUAUACAGCAAGUAAUCAUAUAAUUAAUUUGUGACAAAUGCUAUGAAAUAGUACAAGGCGUUGUCAGAAUAUAACAGAAAGAUCUGAUUCUUACUGGGAACAAGAAAGGAGCCUCUGAGGAUAUAUUGAAAUUAAAAUGUGAAAAAUGAGGAAACCUAGCCAGGUGAAAAGUAGUGAGAGCAUUUUAUCCUGCGAAAAUAUAUCUGAGACCAGAAAGAUUGUUGGAACAAAGAGUAUUUAUAAUUAAACUAAUAACAUUUUGUCAAUACUAAAUAUGAUUUCUUGUUUUAUCUCAUAAGAGAUCAAGGCCCUCCUAACCCAGGGGCAUUAUCAAGAGGUGGUCACUUGACUGGUGAAUGCUCCAGUUGGGUACUCAGCUUAUUUUGCAUCGAAGGUCAUCCAGCCCUCAGAUCAUUGGAGUACCAUCCUGCGCACAACAUGGCACUAGAACUGCAAACUGAAGGCCCAACAGUGUCUUUCAGAUAUUGGUGGCUUAGAACUGCCUGGUUCAGAGAUGGGCAAGAUUGGAGCCCUGCUUCUCCAUUGAGACAUCCCUGAAGUCAGUGGUCUCAUUUUCUGUAUUUGGUAGGGAGAAACAUUUUAAGCAUUGAUGUAAGACCCCUUUAAAACCUUUUGUUCUUGGGGUGCCUGGGUGGCUCAGCUGGUUAAGCGUCCAACUCUUGAUUUGGGCUCAGGUCAUGAUCUCACGGUUCAUAGGAUUGAGCCCCAUGUCGGACUCUGCACUGACAGCAUGGAGCCUGCCUGGGAUUCUCUCCUCUCUCUGCCCCUCCUCUGCUCUCUGUCUCUCCUUCUCUGUAGCUCUUAAAAUAAAUAAACAAACAUUUAAAAAGUAAAAAUAAAUAAAACCCUUUUGUUCUUUUAUUUAUCUGAAACUUUGGAGUAAAAUGUUGUGUCCCACCAUGUUACCAGCGUAGAGCCUAGUAAAUUUUGACUUGACUAAAGUAGAACUAUGUGUAGUCUUGGGUUAGCAUCUGUAUGAUUGUUUCCCUUAUGAUUGUGAUAGUCUAGUCUUUACCAGUUCCACUACUUCCAUGAAC
RNAcentral lists this long non-coding RNA (1514 nucleotides) under Lynx canadensis (Canada lynx). RNAcentral's name for it is "lncRNA (ENSLCNG00005015196.1)". The record is from RNAcentral. Lineage: Eukaryota; Metazoa; Chordata; Mammalia; Carnivora; Felidae.